RNAcentral lists this ribosomal RNA (509 nucleotides) under uncultured bacterium. RNAcentral's name for it is "bacterial SSU rRNA". It matches the Rfam family "Bacterial small subunit ribosomal RNA", at positions 23 to 539 of the family's 1533-position model. The record is from RNAcentral.
CUCAGAGUGAACGCUGGCGGCGUGCUUAACACAUGCAAGUCGAACGAGAACGGGUUAUAGCUUGCUAUAAUUGUCAGCUAAGUGGCGCACGGGUGAGUAAUGUAUAGGUAAUAUGCCUCUUACUAAGGGAUAACAAAUGGAAACGUUUGCUAAUACCUUAUACUCCUUAUUAACAGAAGUUAAUAAGGGAAAGAUUUAUUGGUAAGAGAUUAGCCUGUAUUGUAUCAGUUAGUUGGUGGGGUAAUGGCUUACCAAGACUAUGACACAUAACUGGUUUGAGAGGAUGAUCAGUCACACUGGAACUGAGACACGGUCCAGACUCCUACGGGAGGCAGCAGUGGGGAAUAUUGCACAAUGGACGAAAGUCUGAUGCAGCAACGCCGCGUGGAGGAUGACACAUUUCGGUGCGUAAAACUCCUUUUAUAUGAGAAGAUAAUGACGGUAUUAUAUGAAUAAGCACCGGCUAACUCCGUGCCAGCAGCCGCGGUAAUACGGGGUUGAGACUGACC